AAUAUGGCUGCUCUUUGGAAGCUUGUCAAUUUUUCUUGCAAAACACGAAGAAUAUUCUUUUGCGUCCCAUCAUAUUUACACUAUAAAAGUGACAGAACAAACAAGUGUUUUUGGUCAGUGUUUUUCUCCAAACGCUUUUUUUUAAAUCGAUAUGUUGGAUAUUUUCAACUUUCAAACCCUGAAAAUAAACUUGCUGUUCAUUACGAUAAGCUCCACGACGGCCAUAAAAUCGCCAAAUUUCACUCUAUAACACCUACAACCACCAUCAAACCAUCAUUACCCCUGGAAACACAUGGUCACUGGAUUGUUCGAAGAUUUCCAACUUUAAAUCAGAUCCAACGCGGCAAACGUCGAACAAAAGCAAAAAAACUGAAGUCAACGGCGAAAAAAUCAAAUGAAAUUCUAAAAGGUCCUCAGAGGAAAGGUGUUUGUGUAAAGGUUUUUAUCAGGAAACCUAAAAAACCAAACUCCGCAAACAGAAAAUGUGCUUUAUUAAGACUGAACAAUGGUCAAACUAUAAUCGCUUAUAUUCCUGGUGAAAAAGCGAGUCUACAAGAACAUGGUGUUGUACUUUUUGAGGGUGGAAGGGUUCAGGAUUGUCCAGGAGUUAGAUAUAAAAUAAUACGUGGAAAAUAUGACGUGAAUUAAAAUCUUGUUUGUUA
Xenia sp. Carnegie-2017 is the source of this 662-nucleotide long non-coding RNA. RefSeq lists it as uncharacterized. The record is from RefSeq and is a predicted model, not a curated record. Lineage: Eukaryota; Metazoa; Cnidaria; Anthozoa; Malacalcyonacea; Xeniidae. The transcript is spliced from 3 exons.